Molecule: long non-coding RNA, 1242 nt
Filed under: Sus scrofa (pig)
Lineage: Eukaryota; Metazoa; Chordata; Mammalia; Artiodactyla; Suidae
Description: lncRNA (ENSSSCG00005011483.1)
Source: RNAcentral
UUUGGACUGAAGCUUGGCGGGCGAGAUCCUCAGUUCCAGGGCGGCCCCGCGGCCGCGAUCCCUGCCUCCACGCCUCCGUAGGACAGAGAGCAGCUCCGGAGCAGGACCUGCGGAAAGUUCUUCUCGUCCCGCCCUGGCUAACUGGACUGCGGCCAUGGCCUGCAGAAGCCAUGAGAGCAAAGGCUGCCUCCCGGCCUGUCCGCGUUGCCUACCCCGAGUUCAAAAGAAACGAUAAUCAUUGCGUUACUUGCCUGGUAGGGCAGGACUUGGCCGAGUCUCGCUUCUGGUGCCCACGACUCGCGGUCCAGAGUCCGAGGGCGGCUGGGCCGGAGGGCUGGGCGUCCAGGGCGCCUCCAGUUCCCUGGAGCUUGCUCUCCUUCCUCCUUCCUCUUCCACUCGCUCCGUAUCUCUCCACGUUCUCUUUGCUUCUCCCUGUCUCCCUCUCUCUCUCUAUCUCUCUAUCUCUGUCUCUCUUUUUGUCUUUUAAUCGUGUUCAUUUCACCUUUUAACUGAUCAGGAGACAUGAGCGCGUUUAUUUGAGGAGAGGAGAGAGGGCAAGGAGCCCUCGCCGGCCCCGGUUGCCUUCUUUCCAUCAGCUGCGUACAAUGGGCCGCCGCUUGCAGAUUGCAUUGACUGUCUCUUCAUUAUUCGAGCUGGAGGGGCUGUGGGGCAGACACGAAAAAGCCUUUAUUCUGCUAUUUAAAAUCGUCGCUCAUCACUAAGCGGUCGCCGACUCCUGACUUGCAGGCUGGAGAGACCGGGAAGCGCAAAACGCACCCCAAACGCGCAGCGCUUCCUAAACCCCUCCCUGAUGAAAUUUAAAGUGAGAACGAGUAUUAAAAAAUAAACCCAACCUCUGUCGAUACAGCGUGGCCAUUUACUCUCACCUUUACCUGAGGGCGUGUUGAGGCUCGGGAUGCUGGAGCUGAGACAAACUUUUACAGUCUCCCGAGUCGAGGGGCGGGAAAAAACACCCCCGGCGACAGCAGCAGCGGCUUUGUCACUCCGCGCCGAUCCGCGCCCGCCUGAGCCUGCCUAGGGGAGCGAUCUCAAAACGAGGGGGGGUGCGAGUGUGCGAUUGGAGAAUAUGUAACUAAUAGAAGUAUCAUUUUCCCCCAGUACGAUCUUUCAAGGAAAAAAAAUCCAUUGAAAGAAUUUUCAAAGUGCUGUCUCCGUUUGGAGAAAAGGCACAGGCUGCCUGCCGGGAGGGGAGGAGGGACCCGACUGUGCGUCUCCCCGGCG